Molecule: long non-coding RNA, 1101 nt
Organism: Gorilla gorilla gorilla (western lowland gorilla)
Lineage: Eukaryota; Metazoa; Chordata; Mammalia; Primates; Hominidae
Exons: 3
Source: RefSeq, a predicted model, not a curated record
ACUGGGGCCCGAUCCUAGGGAAUGGAAAGACUUGGAAGUCAAACUGGAAGAAGAGACGGGCCUCGGGUGUCGGGAGCUAGGGGCUGUAAAAGGGAAGAGUCGGGAGGGGAGACUGCGGGAAGGGCCCUGGCCAAAGGGGCAGUGGCAGGAGAGCCUCUAGGAAGCUCCUCAAGUCUCGUCUGAGGCUUUUGGAUACGGGUCGCGGCACAGGGAGAACGCACGCAGCUCUGUACUCUCUUGAAUUGUCCUCCUCUACUUAUUCUGUAAUUCCCAAUUAUUUUGUCCUAUAGAUGGAAGAGACCCUCUCCACCAGAGCUCUCAAUUUUAACUAAUUUGCCCACAGUUUUCCAAAAAAUCUCAGUCACGGUAUUUGCUCGACUGUUUUUUAGCACAUGCUUAUAUAAAUAUGUAGUUUUACCACGCGCUUAUAUAAACAUAUAGUACCGAAAUGUGAUACAGCUGUACAAGAAGGAAAUGGGAAAGACGUGGGAAGGGAAACAAUAUUCUGCCCGCAGAAAGUAAAAUACGUAAGCGACAGAGGAAUGGUGAAGGGCGAGGCCAAUGCAAGGUCACAUAUUAAAGGGAGAAUAAAUGUGAUAUAGAAGUGAAAAGAGUAAGAGGAAAUUAGAAGCAUGAUGCCUAGGCAGCGUGUUCAAAGACUGACCUCCCCACCCUCCCCCCCCACAAAAAAAGAAAAAAGACUGGCAAAGAAUUAGAUCAUCUUUCUUGCUGACAAGUAUCAUCUAGGAAUCACUCUACCUCGCUGGCAAUUUUGAGAAAAUAGUUAUUUUUGUGCUGAACUUUCAUCUGGUUAAGGGUCAUUCCUUCAGUAUUCAACUAAUAUUUACUCUCCUAUAUCCUCACCCACCCCAUGGAAAGAAUAUAUGUCACUUCAUCAACAAAAGGCUUGGCCAUGUGACUUUCUUUAGCCAAUGGAAUGUCAGUAGAUGUAAUUUACCACAUCCUUGCAGAAGUUUUAGAUGUGCCUGCAUGAAUUGGCUUGGUCUCUUGAGCUUCUGAUCUCUACCAAAAGAAGCGCUUUCCUCAGGCAGUCCAGGACUGCAAAAACACAUACAGCCCAGCAAAGCUGUAGCCAACGCA